GCCUACGGCCACAUCACCCUGAAAGCACCUGAUCUCGGAGGCUAAGCAGGGUCGGGCCUGGUUAGUACCUGGAUGGGAGACCGCCUGUGAAUACCAGGUGCUGUAGGC
Molecule: ribosomal RNA, 108 nt
Filed under: Amolops mantzorum (Kangting sucker frog)
Lineage: Eukaryota; Metazoa; Chordata; Amphibia; Anura; Ranidae
Source: RNAcentral